Molecule: ribosomal RNA, 253 nt
Filed under: uncultured bacterium
Lineage: Bacteria
Description: partial 16S ribosomal RNA
Rfam family: Bacterial small subunit ribosomal RNA
Source: RNAcentral
UACGGAGGGUGCGAGCGUUGUUCGGAAUCACUGGGCGUAAAGGGCGUGUAGGCGGUCCGCUAAGUCUGAUGUGAAAGCCCGGGGCUCACCCCCGGAAGGGCAUUGGAAACUGGCGGACUCGAGUCCCGGAGAGGAGGGUGGAAUUCCUGGUGUAGCGGUGAAAUGCGUAGAUAUCAGGAGGAACACCGGUGGCGAAGGCGGCCCUCUGGACGGUGACUGACGCUGAGACGCGAAAGCGUGGGGAGCAAACGGG